AGUUUUGUAUUCAAGUAUGAUUUUAAAUUGCAAAUUUAAAGGUGAUUAGACAAUCUAAAACUU
Molecule: transfer RNA, 63 nt
Filed under: Pristolycus sp. FM14
Lineage: Eukaryota; Metazoa; Arthropoda; Insecta; Coleoptera; Lampyridae
Description: tRNA-Cys
Source: RNAcentral